This 316-nucleotide unclassified non-coding RNA is filed under the name Hevea brasiliensis (rubber tree). The record is from RNAcentral. Lineage: Eukaryota; Viridiplantae; Streptophyta; Magnoliopsida; Malpighiales; Euphorbiaceae.
AUUCGGCACUGGUCAGCCCUAACAGAAAGCAAGGUCAGAGAAUAAAAUACAUAAGCUGCACACUCCUCCAUGCACCAAAUCCACCAAAGAAAUCCAGAUACAUUAACAAUUUUCAAUUAAAAAGCCUAAGCUUUCAUGAUCCUUCCACAACAGUUAUAAUAGUUCUAUCUACAUCUAAAGAAACAUCGGAAGAUGAUAAACUUAUUAAUGCAAAUACAUUCCCAUUAUCAAUGACAUAAAAUUUUCUCAGCUCACAGCUAGCUAACAAGCAAGCAAAUGAGACAAUGAAGGGCAAAAAAGAAGGGGACAAUUCUAG